Molecule: ribosomal RNA, 301 nt
Filed under: uncultured bacterium
Lineage: Bacteria
Description: partial 16S ribosomal RNA
Rfam family: Bacterial small subunit ribosomal RNA
Source: RNAcentral
CAGCCGCCGCGGGAAUACGGAGGAUCCAAGCGUUAUCCGGAAUCAUUGGGUUUAAAGGGUCCGUAGGCGGUCUUGUAAGUCAGUGGUGAAAGCCCAUCGCUCAACGGUGGAACGGCCAUUGAUACUGCAGGACUUGAAUUAUUGGGAAGUAACUAGAAUAUGUAGUGUAGCGGUGAAAUGCUUAGAGAUUACAUGGAAUACCAAUUGCGAAGGCAGGUUACUACCAAUUGAUUGACGCUGAUGGACGAAAGCGUGGGUAGCGAACAGGAUUAGAUACCCCGGUAGUCCCUGUCUCUUAUAA